This 530-nucleotide ribosomal RNA is filed under the name uncultured Lactobacillales bacterium. RNAcentral's name for it is "partial 16S ribosomal RNA". It matches the Rfam family "Bacterial small subunit ribosomal RNA", at positions 685 to 1216 of the family's 1533-position model. The record is from RNAcentral. Lineage: Bacteria; Bacillati; Bacillota; Bacilli; Lactobacillales.
GAUGCGUAGAUAUAUGGAGACACCAGUGGCGAAGGCGGCUCUCUGGUCUGCAACUGACGCUGAGGCUCGAAAGCGUGGGUAGCAAACAGGAUUAGAUACCCUGGUAGUCCAUGCCGUAAACGAUGAGUGCUAAGUGUUGGAGGGUUUCCGCCCCUCAGUGCUGCAGCUAACGCAUUAAGCACUCCGCCUGGGGAGUACGACCGCAAGGUUGAAACUCAAAGGAAUUGACGGGGGCCCGCACAAGCGGUGGAGCAUGUGGUUUAAUUCGAAGCAACGCGAAGAACCUUACCAGGUCUUGACAUCUCACGGACAGCUUAAAAAAAAGGCUUUUCCUUCCGGGAACCAAGGAGAGGGGGGGCGUGUGUUUCGCCACCUCUCGUGGCGAGAGGUGGGGUUAAAACCCCCACCAAGAGCACCCCUUGUUAUUUUAUGCCCCAAUUUUCUUGGGCACUCUCUAGAGACUGCGGGGGAGAAACCGGAGGAGAGGGGGGAGAACACCACAUCUUCUCGCCCCUUAUAAGAGGGGGGAA